GGGUGGGCGUCACCGCAGCGACCAGCCGCUGUGCCGAAAUCCCGCGAGAACGACCCCCUAGGCGCUCCCUGCAGAUAUCGCGAGAAGAUGGGUUAGCCUCCAGACCGGCUCCCGCGAGCUCCCUUCUGGACUCGGUCUGCCGGGACGAUCUGCGGGCGUCCAAAUAUCGCGAGAUUUGGUACUCAUCGCCGACUUAGAACUUUUAUUUAUCUAUUUAUUUUUACUGAGGCUCCAGGCGCGUGGCGUUCCCCAAGAGCGGGAAAGGACAGUGUGAACCUUGCAAAGAUUGCUGUUCUUGUGCUGGCUUCGUCGUCUGGGAGCUUCAGGAGGGCGAGCUUUAAGAGGUCGUCUUAUUGGGUUUACCUAGUUUAUUGUAACAAAACCAGCAGGCCUUGCACAAACAAGGUAAACAAGGGGGGUUCGGUUAACUAACCCUGGAGUUUUAGCCUCGUGAAACGCCCUGAUGAAGAAGCGCACACCACGCAGCCUGUUACCCUCUCCAGCAUGAGCUAAAUGGAUGCUGCCUGUUGUCUGACACCUCCCCGCCAAGUUAACGAAGCCAGAGUGUCUUUUUGCACGUGUUACAAUGUUCCUGUACUACACAGCCACAAUUCCUAUAUGGGUCUCCUGAAGCUAAAUCCAAUGUCAGAAGCUGCAUUCCUUCCCGAAGGUGGAAGAAAUCAUGACUCCUCGACUUGACCAGGAUGGAUUCAAAGCUCACCAGAAUAAUCUCAUUUCCAUGUCUGCAUUCUUAACCGCAUCAGAAAAGACCCUUAUGAAACGUAAAAAAAAAAAAGUUUAUGGUUCCUGAAUUUAUAGAGACAAAUUUCUUUUUGUGGGAAUCAUUAUCCUGCCUGCUCUAGGAUCUUUUUUGAAUACACUGUGCCUGUCCUACAAAGCCAUCUCUAUUCUUUGCAGUCACCAAAAGUUAAUAUCCCUGGUCACAAUAAGAAAUGUUUGUUCAUACAAAUAUGAAAUGUAUCCACUUAAAAUUUACAUGCUGCAUAGGUUAAUAUUUUGACUGGUAGUUUAUUGUACCAUAUUAUUUUUGAUCCAUUGAUCCUAACUUAAGAUCCCCAUCUAUUAUAGGACAUGUUAAUUGUAUAUUGUCUUGAUUUCCCAGAGGUCUGUUGAUUUAAGAUGUCAAUCCUUACAGAGCUGACCUGUAACUACAGGUGACUUGAUAAACUCAAAAUAAGUUUGAUUUAAAUAAAAGAAAUCAA
This is a long non-coding RNA of Microtus ochrogaster (prairie vole), 1223 nucleotides long. RefSeq lists it as uncharacterized. NCBI's taxonomy places the organism in Eukaryota, Metazoa, Chordata, Mammalia, Rodentia, Cricetidae. The record is from RefSeq and is a predicted model, not a curated record.